RNAcentral lists this ribosomal RNA (1966 nucleotides) under Eubacteriaceae bacterium. RNAcentral's name for it is "partial 23S ribosomal RNA". It matches the Rfam family "Bacterial large subunit ribosomal RNA", at positions 1 to 1968 of the family's 2925-position model. Lineage: Bacteria; Bacillati; Bacillota; Clostridia; Eubacteriales; Eubacteriaceae. The record is from RNAcentral.
UGAGGUUAAGUUAACAAGGGCGCAUGGUGAAUGCCUUGGCACUAGGAGCCGAUGAAGGACGGGACUAACACCGAUAUGCUUCGGGGAGCUGUACGUAAGCUAUGAUCCGGAGAUUUCCGAAUGGGGCAACCCAGCAGUUUUAAUCAACUGUUACCACUAGAUGAAUUCAUAGUCUAGUUGGAGGUAAACGCUGUGAACUGAAACAUCUCAUUAGCAGCAGGAAUAUAAAGAAAUUUCGAUUCCCUAAGUAGCGGCGAGCGAACGGGGAACAGCCCAAACCAAAGUGCUUGCACUUUGGGGUUGUAGGACUGAACAUUUGAGUUACCAAAGAACUUGAUAGUCGAAGGAUUUGGGAAAAUCCGCCAUAGAUGGUGAUAGCCCAGUAGAUUAAAUCAAAUUCUCUCAGUUCAGGAUCCUGAGUACGGCGGAACACGUGAAAUUCCGUCGGAAUCCGGGAGGACCAUCUCCCAAGGCUAAAUACUACCUAGUGACCGAUAGUGAACCAGUACCGUGAGGGAAAGGUGAAAAGCACCCCGGGAGGGGAGUGAAAUAGUUCCUGAAACCAUGUGCCUACAAUAAGUCAGAGCGCGUUAAUGCGUGAUGGCGUGCCUUUUGUAGAAUGAACCGGCGAGUUAUGAUCCCGUGCAAGGUUAAGACUAAAAAGUCGGAGCCGUAGCGAAAGCGAGUCUGAAAUGGGCGAUUUUAGUACGAGGUUAUAGACCCGAAACCAGGUGACCUAUCCAUGUCCAGGUUGAAGGUGCGGUAAAACGCACUGGAGGACCGAACCCGUGUAAGUUGAAAAUUGCUGGGAUGAGGUGUGGAUAGCGGUGAAAUUCCAAACGAACUUGGAGAUAGCUGGUUCUCUCCGAAAUAGCUUUAGGGCUAGCCUCGGAAUUAGGAUCAUGGAGGUAGAGCACUAUUUGGACUAGGGGCCCGUCUUGGGUUACUGAAUUCAGAUAAACUCCGAAUGCCAUUGAUUCAUAUCCGGGAGUCAGACGAUGAGUGAUAAGAUCCACCGUCGAAAGGGGAACAGCCCAGACCAUCAGUUAAGGUCCCUAAAUGUAUGCUAAGUGGAAAAGGAUGUGGAGUUGCAUAGACAACUAGGAUGUUGGCUCAGAAGCAGCCACCAUUUAAAGAGUGCGUAAUAGCUCACUAGUCGAGUGAUCCUGCGCCGAAAAUGUACCGGGGCUAAGCAUACUACCGAAACCAUGGAUGCGACCAUUAGGUCGCGUGAUAGGAGAGCGUUCUAAGGGCGGUGAAGCAAGAUCGUGAGGACUUGUGGAGCGCUUAGAAGUGAGAAUGCCGGUAUGAGUAGCGAAAGAUAGGUGAGAAUCCUAUCCACCGAAUGACUAAGGUUUCCUGGGGAAGGCUCGUCCUCCCAGGGUUAGUCGGGACCUAAGUCGAGGCCGAGAGGCGUAGACGAUGGAUAACAGGUUGAGAUUCCUGUACUAGUUAAGUGCGUUUGAGCAAUGGAGGGACGCAGGAGGCUAAGAUGUGCAUUCUGUUGGAUUAGAAUGUCCAAGCAGUAAGUCUUGUGAAGAGUCAAAUGCUUUUCACUUUAAGGACAAGCUGUGAUGGGGAGCGAAAUUUAGUAGCGAAGCGUCUGAUGUCACACUGCCGAGAAAAGCUUCUAGUGAGUACUUAACUACCCGUACCGCAAACCGACACAGGUAGUCGAGGAGAGAAUCCUAAGGUGAGCGAGUGAACUCUCGUUAAGGAACUCGGCAAAAUGACCCCGUAACUUCGGGAGAAGGGGUGCUGAUCGCAAGAUCAGCCGCAGUGAAUAGGCCCAGGCGACUGUUUAUCAAAAACACAGGUCUCUGCAAAAUCGUAAGAUGACGUAUAGGGGCUGACGCCUGCCCGGUGCUGGAAGGUUAAAAGGAUGGGUUAGCUUCGGCGAAGCUCAGAAUUGAAGCCCCAGUAAACGGCGGCCGUAACUAUAACGGUCCUAAGGUAGCGAAAUUCC